Molecule: long non-coding RNA, 334 nt
Filed under: Urocitellus parryii (Arctic ground squirrel)
Lineage: Eukaryota; Metazoa; Chordata; Mammalia; Rodentia; Sciuridae
Description: lncRNA (ENSUPAG00010014814.1)
Source: RNAcentral
CUGGUCUAACACACUCCCCACAUGUGGGUGCCCCACGGGCUUCCUCGGGUAUCUGAGGUCAUCGCGUGACCCUGGGUCUCCAGAGGUUCCAUGUAAAAGGAUCGACUGCCUAGUACAGUUUGAUAAAUGGAUCAUCGCUUUGGAUAAGUGCUAAAGAUCCAUAUGGAUGCCAUGCAUGGAGUUGUGGACCCAUAAAGAAGAAUCUCUGUGAAGAACUCGGCACUCGGCACCCCAGAAAAUUCAGCAGUUAAUUGUGUUCCCCCUGGGGCUGGGGAUGUGGCUCAAGCAGUAGCGAGCUGGCCUGGGUUCGAUCCUCAGCACCACAUACAAACAA